Molecule: ribosomal RNA, 468 nt
Filed under: uncultured bacterium
Lineage: Bacteria
Description: partial 16S ribosomal RNA
Rfam family: Bacterial small subunit ribosomal RNA
Source: RNAcentral
GACGAACGCUGGCGGCGUGCUUAACACAUGCAAGUCGAACGGAAAGGCCCUGCUUUUGUGGGUUGCUCGAGUGGCGAACGGGUGAGUAACACGUGAGUAACCUGCCCUUGACUUUGGGAUAACUUCAGGAAACUGGGGCUAAUACCGGAUAGGAGCUCCUGCUGCAUGGUGGGGGUUGGAAAGUUUCGGCGGUUGGGGAUGGACUCGCGGCUUAUCAGCUUGUUGGUGGGGUAGUGGCUUACCAAGGCUUUGCCGGUUAGCCGGCCUGAGAGGGUGACCGGCCACAUUGGGACUGAGAUACGGCCCAGACUCCUACGGGAGGCAGCAGUGGGGAAUAUUGCACAAUGGGCGGAAGCCUGAUGCAGCAACGCCGCGUGCGGGAUGACGGCCUUCGGGUUGUAAACCGCUUUCGCCUGUGACGAAGCGUGAGUGACGGUAAUGGGUAAAGAAGCACCGGCUAACUACGUG